Molecule: ribosomal RNA, 419 nt
Filed under: uncultured cyanobacterium
Lineage: Bacteria; Bacillati; Cyanobacteriota
Description: bacterial SSU rRNA
Rfam family: Bacterial small subunit ribosomal RNA
Source: RNAcentral
ACGCGAAGAACCUUACCAGGGUUUGACAUCCUGCGAACCCCUUGGAAACGAGGGGGUGCCUUCGGGAGCGCAGAGACAGGUGGUGCAUGGCUGUCGUCAGCUCGUGUCGUGAGAUGUUGGGUUAAGUCCCGCAACGAGCGCAACCCACGUCUUUAGUUGCCAGCAUUCAGUUGGGCACUCUAGAGAGACCGCCGGUGAUAAACCGGAGGAAGGUGUGGAUGACGUCAAGUCAUCAUGCCCCUUACAUCCUGGGCUACACACGUACUACAAUGCUACGGACAAAGGGCAGCAAGCUCGCGAGAGUAAGCAAAUCCCAUAAACCGUGGGGUCAGUUCAGAUCGUAGGCUGCAACUCGCCUACGUGAAGGAGGAAUCGCUAGUAAUCGCAGGUCAGCAUACUGCGGUGAUACGUUCCCGGGC